GGUGGACAGAUGGAUGGACAGAAGAACAUAUGUAUGUCUAUUUGGAUGGAUGGUGGGUGGAUGGGUGGAUGGAUGGAUGAGUGGAUGGACACAUGGAUGGAUGAUGGGUGGAUGGGUG
Ceratotherium simum simum (southern white rhinoceros) is the source of this 118-nucleotide non-coding RNA. The record is from RefSeq and is a predicted model, not a curated record. Lineage: Eukaryota; Metazoa; Chordata; Mammalia; Perissodactyla; Rhinocerotidae.